Molecule: non-coding RNA, 97 nt
Organism: Kwoniella shivajii
Lineage: Eukaryota; Fungi; Basidiomycota; Tremellomycetes; Tremellales; Cryptococcaceae
Source: the annotation of a RefSeq genome assembly
GUCACUUUGGCCGAGUGGUUAAGGCGACACUUUGCUAUACAAGCUUCGUAAGAAGGUGUUAUCGUAAGAUGCGUGAGUUCGAAUCUCAUAGGUGACG